UUAGGUAUCUUCUAGGCUAAAAAUUCUAGGUUUCUAGGCAAUCAUUGAUUUAACAUACAUUUAUGGAACAUAAAUAUAUGCUGGACAGUAUGGGGCAUGAAUCCCCUUCAGGGAACUUACAGUUAUAGAACAGGGGAGUAAGACAAGCACAUUUUUAUUUAAAAAAUUGUUAGGGCCACGAUUCACUGGGUGCCUGUUAGAUGUCUGUCGUGUGUUAGGCAUUGGACCUGAGUUAACUGUAAUUCUCACAAUAAUCCUGUGGGGCCAUUAUCAUCUUUUCUCAGAUGAACAGCCGAGGCUCAGAGAGGUGAAGUGACCUGCCCGUGACUAUCAGAGCAAAGUGAAACCAGAGAGGUUUAGAGAAGUUCUACUGGAGUGGAGGUGGUGGGAGGUGAUAUGAAGUGUCUGUCAAGGCCACAGGCCAAUAAUCUGCCACCACUAUCCAUAGGCAGAGUCUUGGCAGCCAUGUUUGUUCUGGAUGAGCCCACAUCCUUGAGCAUAGCUGAUUGGACCAGGGAUGGACAUCAGCUCCAAACAGGACAACCCAAAAUCAUCUCUCCUAAGAUUUGUAAUUGGAUUUGAGAAAGAGUUGAAUCAGUCUCUUUUUGUGGCUAAUAUUUGACAUGUGAAAUCACAAGGCAUGGUUCUAGAAGCUGAAGACACUUGGUGAACAAAACAUGGAGUUACCUACCGGUGUGUAGAGAGAGCAUCAACCCAGUCAUUAGCUCCAGGCUACCCCCUGUGCAAGGACCGCAGAAGCCAGGAUGAGGAAGAGGGGCUAAUUCCAAGAGACAUUGCUGAUGUCAAAGCAGCAAGAUGACUUGACCAACUGAUGGAGGGAGGCACAGGGAUGCUGGUAAGCUGGCUCUCUGGGAAGAGAAAAAGCCCUGGUUUAUAGUGUUUGCUGUUUUAUACAGCAUAAAUACUCCCACCAUGGCUGAUUUGAAGUUACUAACAUGAUGUCACUGAAUAUGUAGCUGGGAAGAGACAGUGAGUUUAGAGGGAAAAGCCAAGGAUGCCUCAGGAGUUCUCAGCUUGUGGCUGAGUACAGGGAACUGUGGUUAACUGUUUCAAGGGGGUUCUAAUUUUUCCUUGGGUCAGAUGCAGUUUUCAGAAUCCCCUGAAAGUUGGGAAACUUGCUUAUUGUCACAAAAUUCUCAAAGCAUUUCAAGGUUUUCAUUCUUAUAUCAAAACCCUUAUGCUACAUAAAAAACUCCAACAUCCCAGUGGCAUUUUUUUUUAUAAUUUUAUUUAUUUAUUUAUUUUUCCCCCAAAGCCCCAGUAGAUAGUUGUAUGUCAUAGCUGCACAGCCUUCUAGUUGCUGUAUGUGGGACACGGCCUCAGCAUGGCCA
This is a long non-coding RNA of Diceros bicornis minor, 1352 nucleotides long. RefSeq lists it as uncharacterized. The record is from RefSeq and is a predicted model, not a curated record. Lineage: Eukaryota; Metazoa; Chordata; Mammalia; Perissodactyla; Rhinocerotidae. The transcript has 4 exons.